Long non-coding RNA from Coffea arabica (coffee), 4801 nucleotides. RefSeq lists it as uncharacterized. The record is from RefSeq and is a predicted model, not a curated record. Lineage: Eukaryota; Viridiplantae; Streptophyta; Magnoliopsida; Gentianales; Rubiaceae.
UUGAAUUUAUCAUUAAGCAUUGAUUUCUCUAUAGGAUUGUUGUUGACUUUUGGAAGAUAUUGUACUGUAUAUUCAAGUUUUAAUUUCAGAUAUGAUAGCCAAUCGUUAGGCACUACAAUGAAAUAUUCUGAAAUUUUGUUAGGAACUAGUUGGAAGGUUAAUGAUACCUAGAUAUUGGAAAUGGUACACCAUAGAAUAAGAAGAUGGAUAAGAUUAAGACAAGGCUCACGUUAAUGGUGCUUUAACUAUUAAGCCAAGAGUUAGAUGGGUGAGAAUAAAAAAAUAAAUUAUUUUGUAGUGGAAUUCAGAGAAAUGUAAUAUGUGGAGCAGGUUAUGAUUAUUAGGGCAAUGAUAUUAUGAUGAAAUGUUGCAGUUUCUGGGUCUAAGGAAAUGCUUAUUGUAACAUGUUUUAUAAGGAGUUGGCAUAACAAUUAUUGAUGGUAAGAAGUAGAAGAGGAUGAGAUCAUAUUUGGAAAUUUAAAAGUUAGUAAGUUUGAUUUAUUAGUCAUACUACAAGGCACCCUGAUCCUAUUAAAUUGAAGUUUGGAAGUGAGGACAAACUAAUGUUGAAGUCAUGACUUGAUGAUUCCGUUGAAAGUGAUUGUUGACUGAGGAAUAUUAUUAGGACUUCAUGUUGAAAUGUACUUAAUUGCAUUGGGUUAAUAUAUAGUACAAAUUACUUUUGAGAUGUAAGGUCAAUAUAGAAAUCAAAACAUGAAUUAACUAUUAUAGGAUGAAAGGAUUGUGUUUAACAUGGGGUUUACCACAAUGUCAAAUUGAUAUUGUAGAAUGUACUUAAGUUGAAUAAACAUAGAGUUGAUUGAUUGAAAAUACUCUGGAAGAUUGCAGCUCAUGUUGGCAUAAGGAAAUGUAAUGGAAAAUAGGUGCUUCAUAUUUCUAUAUUAUUGGAGAAAGGAUAGAAAAACUUGGAAGGGAUAAUUUGUAGUAAGUAGUAUGAAAUCGCAAUAUGUGCAUUUAGAGUGAUAUAUUUCAUUAAACUUGGAUGAUGGCUUUAUAAUUUUGAGCAUUUUUACGGGUUAAGUUUCGAGGACGAAACUUUUAUGAGGAGGGGAGAAUCAGAUACCCAGAUCCCGAGAUGGGAGUUUUAAAAGAAAACCAAAGAAAUUAGAGAUGAAACUUGAAGACAUAGAAAAUUGAGGGACUCAAAUAGCAAAUAAAUAAAAGUUCUCUCCCACUCUUAUGUAUCAAUUGGACAUACACACAUUUGUCCAAUGUCUUUCUUUCCUUUUGUCUUUUCUUCUCUUUCCUUUCUUCCUCCUUUAUUUUUCUCCUCAAAAACACCAAAAUUUAGAGGUUCAAUUUGCCAUCGGUAGAAUGACGGUAUUGUGUAUGCGCCCCACCAUCUGAUUGCCCAUGACCUCAAGCACCUCCUCAUUGAAUUUCAUGUUUUUAGUCGUCGGAGUUGCCGGCAAUGGCCGGUCAAAUGUUCAGCGAGUACUAUUCACCGUAGUUUAAUAUUUUCAACUUUUCUCCCAAAAUAUUUAGAAUUUUGAAAACCAAAAAUAUUAAUUUGUUCAUUUUCUUAUGGGCUAUCUUCAGUUACAUUUUCAUGCUUUUGGAUGUAAGAUGAAUUUUUAAAAAUUAGUCAAAAUUUUCUAUUUUCUUGGAAUUUCAAGCCUUUGAUUUUAUUUGCCUAAAUUUAGUUUAUUGGAGGUUUAUUUAACUUCUCAAGACUACUAAACAUUGGUAUUCAUGAUUAGUUUCAUUUGAGUUUUUUGGGCUAUAGAUGAACUAUUUGGUUUGAUGCUUUAUGUAGUAUUGUUAUAACAUAUUAUAUUGAUUCUUGAUUUGUAUCUCUUAUUUGUUGAUGUUUCUCCUAGAAAUUUGAGGUUAUUUUGAUUGUUAGAAUUAAGUUAUGGGUCAUGUAUAUAGUUGUAGAGUUAGUGGUAGUUAACUUUGGGUUAAAUUUACUUAUUUUGCACCUGAAACUUGGUUGGAAAUGGAAAUUAGGAUUGCCUGGUUGGAAUAAUCCCUUGUAUAUUUUGGUAUUGAACUUAUAAUUAUACAUUGGACAUAGCAAAUAGAAUGGAUACUAGGUUUUCGUCUUAUAGGUGUGGGAAGCAAUUUUCUAUAUAUCUCAUUUCAUAGUUCUCAAGUUAAGUAAUUUGGAAUUGUUUAUAAAUGGGGAGGACAUGUACUACAAGGAUUAUUGGAGUUGAGUUGGCUAUUGGUUUGUUUGGCUAAGGUAAGUGAUUUUGGUACUCACUACAUUUCCAACUCAAGUUUUAUGAAUGAAAAUAGUUUCAACUGCUUAUGCCACAUGAAAUUCGGCAUGGGUGAGAAUACAUUUAUUGCUUUGACAUACGAAGAAUUAUGAUAAAGAUGAAUAUGAUUUGUUUCUGAAUUCUAAAUGUAAUGUAUGUUCUGCACUAUGAACUCAUGGUUUUUUGGUUACUAUCUAUAGAACUAGUUUCACCACAUCUGUCAGUUUGGACUACCUAGAGGAACAAAUAGUUAGAAACCUUUUGUCUGGCCUACUUGACGAGACAAAUAGUCAGAAUUGAAUAACCGGUUAUUGAUAGAGACCGAGAGUUCAUGAGCUUAUUGUAAUAAAUUGUUAAUUACUGAAUUUGUAUAAUUAUGUACUCAUAUGACAAUUUUGUUUUAAAUUUUAUUUUGAUAUUAGCUUACUCAUACUGAUAGAUAAGUACAUGAUCUACUUAUUGGGCAAGUGAUUUGUUCACUUCAUUUGUUAAUAUUUCUAGUGAAGGAUGGAUUUUACGGGAAUAUUUAUGAUCAGGUAUGGGAGCUUGUAAGGAAGACUAAAGACUUGUUUAGAUCAUUCUGUCUUUGGCUAUUUUGUUUGGUAACUUUUGUAUAUAGAAUUAGAUGAUGAUAGUGAAUGGUUGUAUUUUGUAUGGAAUAUUGAAUUUUGGGUUAUGCCAAUUGCUUGAGAUGUACUUGGUAGGAAGAUUUAGAAGUUAGUAAGUACAAAGAUUUAGUCAUUUGGUUUUGACUCUAGACAAGGUGAUGUUAUGUCCCGAUUUUGGGGCGUGACAUUGGAUUUUGGUUGAACUUUCUAUGAUUGUAUUGUGUUGAUUUCUUGGUUAUUUGAUCCUAUUAUUUUGAACAAGUUAUUUAGCCUUUUUACUCCUCUAAUAAUGAUUAACUUGGUACCAUUAAUUAUAAUUAUCUAAAGAUGAUGUUUUUUCAAUAAAAUUUGGGAGUUAACACUAAUUCAAGGAAGUGCUAAAUCUAGGGAAUAUACUCAUGAGAGUAAAGAUACACCUUUGUGACUUUAGUAAUUUAUUUCAUGUAAUUUCAUAGAAACUGACAUGUGCGGGGUAUACAUAUACAAUUAGCUCAUCCACAAUCAAGUUUUAUAUUUAUAGCAUACUAAAUACCCCACACGUGAUUUUCUGCAAGUAUACAGGUCGUGAGCGAGUAUAGGGUAUUAAGGGUCAAUCCCACAGAGAAGAUUUUCAAUUAUCGGUGAUUUUCGAACUCCUUUAUUAUUUAAACUAUAAGCAUGUAGUUAAAGUAAUAAAAUUAACACUAAAAAUCUCCUAAAUGUAUGGAAUUCCUUAUUACUCUCCCUAAUGAGAUUACUGGUUAAGUGAAUGCUAUUAUCUUGACUAGUUAUGGCAUAAUUUCCUAAUGUAUGUGAAACUUACUCUCGUAGUGAAUCAACUAUACUUAUAGCUAAACUAUACCUACUCUCAUGGUUAUGAAUUAACUACAAACUCAUUUUUUUUAUUAAAUUACAUGAAACAAAUCACUAAAUCCACAUAGAUGCACCUCUACUCUUAUGAGUGAACUCCCUAGAUUUAUCACUUCCUUGAACUAGUGUUAAAUUGCAAUUCUCAUUGCAAACUUAAUACCUUUAGAUUAUCACAAUUAAUGACCAGUUAAUCAUGAUUAGUGUGACGCCCGAGAGAAGAAGAAAGGAAAAAAAUUCUAGUGAACAGUGCUUUGUGGAGAAUCCGGCCGGAAAUCCGACCAGUUCUUGGCCGGAUACCUGGCUGGAUUGGCUUGGAGUUUUAAAAAUUUUUUGAUCAGCUACUGCCCUGUAUCCAGCCAGAAAUCCGGCCGGAUUGUGACGUGGCAUGUAUCCGGCCAGAAAUUCGGCCGAAAAUCUGGCCAGACUCCGACCGGAUUCUGACGUGUCACCUCCGCAACCAGGUUUGACCGGCUGUUUUUCUUUGUUCUUAUCUUGCUUUUGGCCCAAAAUAUCUUCCAUUCUUGCUCCCUCUUGGCCGAGCUUCAUGGAGAGAAAAGAAAGGAAACCUUCAAACUUUUUCUUCCACUCUUACUUAUAUCUUGUAAUCUAACCGUUAGGUUUGCAAAUUGCUCCAAUUCAUUUCAUAUCUAAGGUGAUUGCAAGCUAUUGAUGGAGUCUUUAGAGAAGGGGAAGUUCUAAGCUAUUAUCUCUCUUGAGUUUACAAGGGUUUCGACUUGAGCAAGGCAAUGAUGUAUGAUGGAUAAGGUUCGCGAGCCUGGUUGGGAUCGAGGCAAAUGAAGCUUUUGUAUUACGUUAUUUGUGUGACUGGAUGGCAUAUUUCUUGUACAGUUUAGAUUUGGAUUCAGUUUGUGUAAUAGUUGGGCUAGUAUGACCGUUUGGAAUUGAAGUGGGUGUAUGUGUACGUUCCACGCUUAGAAUUAGUUUCCACUUCGCUUAUGAUAUGUAAUUUUUGGAGAAGUUGUUAUAUUAUUUGCGUUGUGCCUUGUAAAGUUUUGAGGACUGCGAUUGUACUUGUAAUUAUGUGAGAACUGAGGACAUUUGUCUUAUUCGGGAAAUUUAUAUUGCUUUUAUAUCUUGAGGUUUUAGUUUGAAGUGUAA